AAAGCUAUAAUUAACAGUGUACGCAUUUAGUUUCUAAUAACCAGGUUACACAUGUCCUCACCAUCAGUUUCCUACUUAUGUUCAUCUAUCAGGAGGAUGUCACAAGGAUUUUCUGCAUUCACUGUAAAAGAAGCAUUUAUACUGAGCGCAGACUGACUGGUAAAUCUUUCAUCGGUUGCAGUGGAUCUGCAUGGAAGAGACAUUGGGAGGAAGCCUUAUCUGUCACCUUAUAACAAAUGUCAACAUCAGAGUUAUGCCAAACAGCAUAUAGACAAGCCAGAGGCCUUUUUGAAACAAGUGUUGUGGACUAAUGAAGUUAAAACAGAAGUAUUUGGCCACAAUUACCAAAGGUUUGUUUGGUGAAAAAUGGAGUAGCAUUUGAACACCUUGGUGACUGGUAAACACGGUGGUUAACUGAUCAAGCUUUGGAGUUGUGCGACAUCCAGCGUCCCAGAAAAUAUUGUAUAUAUAGAGCGAAGGAUGGAUUCCACUAAAUAUCACCAAAUUCUGGAUGCCAAUGUGAAACAGCCAGCUUAGAAGCUGAAGCAGAGAUGGCUCCAACAACAAGAUAUGAUACAUGAUGAUACUAAGCAUACCUCAUUUUACCACCAUGAGCUAUUUAUAGAAAGGCAAGCUGAAGGUUUUAUAUUGGCUCCCCUGACUUCAAGAUCUACCCACAGACUUUCAGUGAAGUUUAACAUGCCAGUGAUCUGCAAGGACGAGUGGCCAAAAAUUCUUAUAACCGAAUACAAAAAGCAUUUACAAGCUGUGAUCUGUGCCAUAGGGGGUAUUACCAAAUACUGACUUAUCACUUAAUUGUGCAUUAACAUUUGCAAAUAUUUUAUAUAUAUUUUUUUUUAACACAAUGAUUCCUGCCGUACUGGUUUACUAUGUUUCACUUACAAAAUUAGGUAAUUAUGUCAUUUGGCAAGGGAUGCCCAAACUUUUGCAUUCAACAGUAUAUAAAUAGCCUUUUCCCACCACUGGUGUGUAGUUAAAUCAAUAAUGCCGAUCCCUAGGUUCUCUAUAAAUUUCCUUUGUGUGUAUGAAAUCAAGUAAAAACCAUAAAAAGUACUGGCACACAGAGCAACUGCAAUGCAGGCAAACCCCUGCAUGUUUAAGCAGCCAUGAUAGAACAUUUCUGUUCUAGAACUGUUUCCAUGGGAAAGGUAUUAUUCCGAGUGAUGCAGUUGCACAUCCUUUGAAUGGUUCUAAGCAUGCAAGGCUUUUAUACUUGUGAGUGUAAAGAGGUAGUGUUUUGAAUACCCAUGAAAUACCCAUCUCGUUUAGUGAAUGUGGGCCAGACAAGUUAACCAAUUUAUAUUUGUUAAAAUAAACACAAGACAACUAUUUGCAUUUAGCAACUUCCAGCUGCUUUGUUCCAAACUGGUAGUAAAGAAAAAUCAAAAAGAAACAACCUAGCUCAUAAACACGGGCUUAUAUUUUAAACUUCGAGUUUGUGAAUUUGAGUUUGUUUUUCUAAAUUUAAUAAACUUGCAUAUUGAAUGGCCGCUUAUUUAUUAAUAAGGAAAACUCAUUUGAAUAAAAAAAA
This is a long non-coding RNA of Xenopus tropicalis (tropical clawed frog), 1552 nucleotides long. RefSeq lists it as uncharacterized. Lineage: Eukaryota; Metazoa; Chordata; Amphibia; Anura; Pipidae. The record is from RefSeq and is a predicted model, not a curated record. The transcript is spliced from 2 exons.